Molecule: long non-coding RNA, 232 nt
Organism: Oncorhynchus tshawytscha (Chinook salmon)
Lineage: Eukaryota; Metazoa; Chordata; Actinopteri; Salmoniformes; Salmonidae
Exons: 2
Source: RefSeq, a predicted model, not a curated record
AAACUAAGACUAGUAAACAGUAAAACAAAAACGUUUACUUGCGUCCUUUACUGUCCAAAAAAAAACAACAAAAUAAAUGCGAUCAAGAAUCAAGAGUUUGAAAAUAAACAACAAAAAAACAGAGCAAACACGACGUGUCCAGAAAUCAACCAGCUGUGUCGACUUCCCACAGAGACAAGAGGAGAGAGCUGUCAUUUUGGCUCGGCGGCCUUUCUGCGCAGGCGCAGGAAAA